This 414-nucleotide long non-coding RNA is filed under the name Ailuropoda melanoleuca (giant panda). RNAcentral's name for it is "lncRNA (ENSAMEG00000028064.1)". The record is from RNAcentral. Lineage: Eukaryota; Metazoa; Chordata; Mammalia; Carnivora; Ursidae.
AUAAGAUAGAACAAACACAUACCACAGGGAGAAGGGGCCACAUUUGACCUGUGGGAUUAGGAAAGACCAAAAAAAAAAAAAAAAAAGCCGUGAGAGAAGGGGACUUCAGCACUGCGAGGCGGGAGCGGGCUAGUGAAGGGAAGAAGUGGGCUGGCUCCUGACGCACUUUCUGCUGGUGGGAGGGAAACCAGGGACCCGAGCCCACUGGUGACGUUUCCUUCACGUGAUCAGAAGCCGACGUGUGCAGAAGUCCCUCUCCUCCAGGUACCAGCUCCCCAUUUCCGUGGAGAAAGAUUUCAGACUGAGGGACAGAGCGGCAACUGCCCUAGAGCCCUGCAGGUCUUCAGGUCUGUGGUUGUAGGCACCAACCCAGACAAGAGAGGAAAAGACCUGCAGGACCAGUGCAGGACAGGC